This 27-nucleotide non-coding RNA is filed under the name Homo sapiens (human). Lineage: Eukaryota; Metazoa; Chordata; Mammalia; Primates; Hominidae. The record is from RNAcentral.
UAUCACCAGGACACUGUGAAUUGAGGU